CGCGGCGGGUGUCUUAGUGAAUUUGUGGGAGGCUUUGGUGAUGGUGGAACGACACGUUCCCUUGAUGGAUCUUCACCAGCUGUGGAGUCAGAUCUGGAGAAGUUGCGUUUCGGAGCAGUGGAUUGAUGAAUAUCCUUUGAAUUACUAGUGGAUGUAUGAGCAGCAUUUUGGGGCUCUGGAAUUUUCAGGUUUUCAGAAUUCCACCUCCGCUGUCUCUUUACGGAUUCAUUUCCAACCACUGCUUGAUCAUGAAGCCUUCUUUUUUCAGCAGGCAAAGAUGAAACGUCAUUCUCUAUAUCAAUAUUCUUUUUGUCUGCAGUUGAGCCUCGCACUG
RNAcentral lists this unclassified non-coding RNA (334 nucleotides) under Hevea brasiliensis (rubber tree). The record is from RNAcentral. Lineage: Eukaryota; Viridiplantae; Streptophyta; Magnoliopsida; Malpighiales; Euphorbiaceae.